AGUAUGGGAUGUCAGCAGAACAAAAAUUAAAAAGAUUAAUUUUCCUUUUGAUCUAAAACUUCCUUAGUUUGAGCAGUAGGUGCUACGAAAUUAUUUACAUAUCUUAGUAUCAUAGUUAAAUGUAAUGUGUUUAGGAGAGGAAAACAAAAGAUACAUUUGCUUUAAAUUCAUUAAGAAAUUUUGAAAUUCACUUUGUAGCCCAUGCUGAUAGAAUUGGGCUGUGUUGGUACAUUUGAAACACUGUUUAUGUUGCUUGAAACACUUAUUUAUUUAAUCGCCGAUGUGAUGAUGCCUAUGGCCGAGAUCAAAUAUAGCUAGAUUGGCUAGACUACUUAUUUGUUUACUUAAACUAUGGGAAGAAGCAUAUUAUUGUGUCAUUCUGUUGUGUGUGUAUGUGUAUAUACAAUAUAAAUAUAUAUAUAUAAAGUUAUUUUUUCUUUGGGUUAAUUUAUUAUAAGUUGUAACACUUGGCUAGUUUUGUUUGUAUAUGUCUUAAAAUGUUUUCUUAUGAUAUUUAAGUGACAGUUAAAGAGGUAUCAAGGUAACUUGUGUAGAACUAUUGUUUGAUAUAUUGUCAUGUUUGUUGUGAAUAUUUUUUCUUACUGCACAGUAGAAAAAUAAAAACAACUGAGUCUUUAUUUUAAUGUAACUCAGAUUGGGGAAAACAAACAGAGCUAAGGGAACAAAAUGACUGAGGGAGCACUCUCCCACGUCCAGUGCACUGAUCAUUUUAGUAUGUUUGUGCUUUGUACGGUUAUAUAUUUAAAACAAAAACAAAACAAAAAAAUACAAGGGUUCAUGCUCUUCCCUGGGUAAUAGAAACAGUUACUCGCUAUGCAUAAUCUAGUUGAUAGUUAAAUUUGCUAUUGCUUUUCUUGUCUUGUUAUAUAAAAUCUUUUCAAUACAAGUUUAGUCUUAAUGGUAAUAAAACGUUAUGGUUAUUUAUAACUUGUGCUUAUUUUGUGCAUUUUUUCCCAUGCUGAACCCACUAAGUGCAUGUAGACAGGACUGUUGUUUUCACACUGAAGAGGCAAACUUUGUAGUAGUCGUCGUAGUGGUAGACAGAUUACGAAUACCAAGGCUGCAUCAUAGACUCCUCCUUUAAAUUUUUUUUCUGUUUUUUUUUCCUCUUUUUGGUUUUGGAUAUAACACCAGAUUUCAGUUCAGAGAACACUCGUUCAACAUUCAGGGAAACCUUUUUACGUCACCUGCUAUGAAUGAACGCAGUUUGCUGGCAAAGUUUUGAUGCAUUUGCUAAGCAUUAGUGGGAAAGGCAUGCCAAAAUCUUCUCUAUAAUGUGUUCAAUCUUGGGGGAAAAAAAAAGGAAAAAAAAUCUUAGGACCAGGCAGUUGUAUACUUUAGUUAUUAAUGAAUGACUUCAUGUUAAUCUUGCUAGUUUAGAUUAUUUCCAAGGGAAAGUAUUGUAAAUGUUUUUUUUUCAUAAUCUUGUUGUGUUUGAAUUAUUUGUACUUUAUCUGUCCAGACAAUAAAUGAAAGUGUGUAGAA
This 1506-nucleotide long non-coding RNA is filed under the name Macaca fascicularis (crab-eating macaque). Its description in RNAcentral is "lncRNA (ENSMFAG00000052382.1)". The record is from RNAcentral. Lineage: Eukaryota; Metazoa; Chordata; Mammalia; Primates; Cercopithecidae.